RNAcentral lists this non-coding RNA (28 nucleotides) under Rattus norvegicus (Norway rat). Lineage: Eukaryota; Metazoa; Chordata; Mammalia; Rodentia; Muridae. The record is from RNAcentral.
UCCUCAGACUUGGGCUGAUGAGAUGAUU